GACGAACGCUGGCGGCGUGCCUAACACAUGCAAGUCGAACGGAAAGGCCCUGCGUUUGCUGCGUGCUCGAGUGGGGAACGGGUGAGUAACACACGAGUAACCCCCCCUUGACUUUGGGAUAACUCCUGGAAACUGGGGCUCAUACCGCAUAUGAUCUCCUGCUGCAUGGUGUUGAUUGGUAAGCUUCGGCGGUUGGGGAUAGUCUUGCUGGUUAUCAGCUUCUUGGUCGGGUAGGUGCUUACCAAGGCUUUGACGGGUAGCCGGCCUGAGAGGGUUAGCGGCGACAUCAGGCCUGAGCUACGGCCCAGACUAGUAUGGGACGCAACGGUGGAGAAUAUUGCACAACAGGCGGAAGCCUGAUGUGGAGACGCCGCGUGCGGGAUAACGGGAUUCGGGUUGUAAACAGAUUUGGAAUGAGACGAGCAGAUAGUGACGGUAAUGGGUAAAGAAGCAACGGCUAACUACGUG
This 468-nucleotide ribosomal RNA is filed under the name uncultured bacterium. Its description in RNAcentral is "partial 16S ribosomal RNA". It matches the Rfam family "Bacterial small subunit ribosomal RNA", at positions 28 to 507 of the family's 1533-position model. The record is from RNAcentral.